ACUCAAAUGAAUUGACGGGGACUUGCACAAGCGGUGGAUCAUGCGGCUCAAUUCGAUGACAAACGAAGAACCUCACCAGGGUUUGAAACACUAACGUAAGCCUUAGGAAACUUUGGCCCCCGCAAGGCGGUAGUGCAGGUGAUGCAUGGUCGUCGUCAGUUCGUGGCUUGAGUUGUUCCCUUCAGUGGGGUAACGAACGCAACCCUCGUUGCCUGUUUUAUAUGUCAGGCGAGACUGCCCCCUCACGGGGGAGGAAGGUGAGGAUGACGCCAGAUCAGCAUGUCCCUCUGAUAUCCUGGGCUGCACGCAUGAUACAAUGCACUCGACAACGAGACGCAAUGGGGUAACCCGGAGCAAAUCUGUAAACGAGUGCCCAGUUCGGAUUGAGGUCUGCAACUCGACCUCAUGAAGCCGGAAUCGCUAGUAAUCGCGGGUCAGCUAUACCGCGGUGAAUACGUUCUCAAGUCUUGUACACACCGCCCGU
RNAcentral lists this ribosomal RNA (484 nucleotides) under uncultured bacterium. RNAcentral describes it as "partial 16S ribosomal RNA". It matches the Rfam family "Bacterial small subunit ribosomal RNA", at positions 899 to 1397 of the family's 1533-position model. The record is from RNAcentral.